AUUUAUCUGACUAUUCCCAAAUAGGAUGAAACGCGCGUUCUGAAU
Schistosoma haematobium is the source of this 45-nucleotide non-coding RNA. Lineage: Eukaryota; Metazoa; Platyhelminthes; Trematoda; Strigeidida; Schistosomatidae. The record is from Rfam.